GAGACUACGAUGCGGCGUGAGUUGUGCAAGCUUAAUUUAUUGAGGUUUAGUGGCAUGAGAUUGAUGGACCUCUUGGUAUGUAGUUGUGUUUGUGACGAUGUCAUUGUAGUAUAUAUAUAAUUUGGCGCACUAUACAACUAAGUAAUCUUGAAUUGUGACUUAUUUGUGAUUGAGUGUUACAAGGGUGAUCCACCUGUUACUGGAGUUGGGGUAUUGAGAUGGUGAUGGAUAUGACAUGGAUUUGAUGAUGGAUAGCGGGAAUAGGGACUGGAUAGAGUGAUAUUUAUUUCUUGUGGAUAUGUAGGCAUCGCUCUCUCCAGAGGUUUCCCUCUAUCCUUCAUCUAGAUGAACGUUCAUAUCCUCACCAAAACAACCACCACCACAUAUGAUUGUGGACAAUAAAAUACCUGCAACCCAAUUUCAUACUGAAGGAUGAACAGUGGAUGUAUUCAAAGCUCUCUGUGUGUGUGUGUGUGCGCGCGCGCGCGCGCGCGUCUCACACACACAAACAACAGAUACAUGGUCGAUGCAAGAUUGGUGAGACUAUCUAUGGUCAUCUGAGUUGAGCUGGUCAAAGCAUGAGGAUUUGGUGGAACAUAUAGCUGAAUCAACGCAUGGUUUGAACCAGAAACCGCUCUCUAAUGUUUGCACCGACGGGUGUUACAAUAUGGGUGAUAUUUCUGCUUGUACUACUUGUCAUUAAUGUCCUGGAUCCAAUUUUGUGGGAUGCAGUUGAAAGCUAAUUAUGAAGAUUGUUGUUUUGUAAGUCUUUGAUGUACAUGUAUUUUUCUUUCAAGAAAGUCUUAGAAAUGUGUGCAUUAUUGCAUAUAUACUUCUUGAGCUGACUGGUUUUCAUUUUUAAUUAAAGCUUGUUAUUAUUAUUAUUUUU
Elaeis guineensis (African oil palm) is the source of this 889-nucleotide RNA transcript. RefSeq lists it as uncharacterized. The record is from RefSeq and is a predicted model, not a curated record. NCBI's taxonomy places the organism in Eukaryota, Viridiplantae, Streptophyta, Magnoliopsida, Arecales, Arecaceae.